CAAGAUCCGAUUCUAGUUUAUGCGUAAUCUAGGAUUAGGGUUAGAACGUAGUGAGAUGCUUGAUGCGGUUUACGUUAUUUUAUAGAAAUAGAAAACUAUGUAUGUACAUGAUGCGUGUUGGUAUGGUUUAUUUACUUCGUAAUUAAACAUUGUAUAUUCUAUAACUUUUAUUCCUUCAAUUUCUUGCAUUACAUGUUAUUUAUUAGAAAGAUUCACUAGCAACGGAGAAUAUUUCAAUAAUUUGUACAAAAUUAAUUUCCUCUUAGUAUAAGGCUCACAAUAUUUUCCAGCAACUAAAGAUUAUACAAAAUUCUUUUUCUUUUUUUGUGAAUUUAAGUAAUAAUUUCUUUCGUAUAUAGUAUCAAGUGAAAUCCAGCUAAUAUCCUUCUAGGAGGAAGGAGACCGUCAUCGUAUCAAAUUAUUUUUUAUGAUAGAGAUUUCAAAUCGAUAAUUGGAAUUGUUACAAUUGAUGAAGAAUAUUUGAAAGUAUCUAGAUACAAAAUUUUAUAAAUUUUAGAAAUUAUUUACUUAGUGAUCAAAAGAUCGUAAAAUCGACAGUUUUUAACAGCCUAUAUAAAUCGUUUGCUUGUUUAACGAUAUAGAGUAAUUCAUAUCUCUUUAAUUUUUAAUAAAAAAUUAUCUAUAUUAUUUAGAUAACUUUUAAUAACUUCGAUUAUGAAUUAAAAAAUAUAGCCUCUAUUUUCAUAAGGUUAUUAGUUUCUGACCAUUUAUUUUUCAACUCUUCGAUGAAUUUUAUAAUAGUUUAAAAAUAUUAUAAAAUUCGGUUUCUAAAUAUUUUUAAUAAUGUAGAUCAAUUUCAAAAAUGUCGAUUAUCAAUUUGAAGUCUCGAUCAUACAAAAUAACUUGAUAGGAUAGACGUCUUUCCUCUUAAAAGGAUAGUAGCUAGAUAUGUAUCAAGUUUGCAUACAACAAGUACACCGUAAAAUAUAUUUCCUACUUUUUUUUGUCUCAACUGAAAAA
Molecule: long non-coding RNA, 981 nt
Filed under: Ananas comosus (pineapple)
Lineage: Eukaryota; Viridiplantae; Streptophyta; Magnoliopsida; Poales; Bromeliaceae
Description: long non-coding RNA (ACOM_LNC009153)
Source: RNAcentral